Molecule: ribosomal RNA, 217 nt
Filed under: Proboscia inermis
Lineage: Eukaryota; Bacillariophyta; Melosirophyceae; Probosciales; Probosciaceae
Description: partial Eukaryotic large subunit ribosomal RNA
Rfam family: Eukaryotic large subunit ribosomal RNA
Source: RNAcentral
GGAGUUUGGCUGGGGCGGCACAUCUGUUAAAAGAUAACGCAGGUGUCCUAAGAUGAGCUCAAAGAGAACAGAAAUCUCUUGUGGAACAAAAGGGUAAAAGCUCAUUUGAUUUUGGCUUUCAGUACUAGCACAAACCGUGAAAGCGUGGCCUAUCGAUCCUUUAGCCUGAGAGAAUUUCUCGCUAGAGGUGUCAGAAAAGUUACCACAGGGAUAACUG